Long non-coding RNA from Dreissena polymorpha, 2541 nucleotides. RefSeq lists it as uncharacterized. The transcript is spliced from 3 exons. The record is from RefSeq and is a predicted model, not a curated record. Lineage: Eukaryota; Metazoa; Mollusca; Bivalvia; Myida; Dreissenidae.
CAGGGCGUUUAUAUAUUCGUAUGCAACUGCGUGUUAAAUGAAAAGGUUAAAGAUGGCUACAAGAAGGAGAAAAUAAGGCGCUUAAACGAAUCGAUGAUGAGUUCGUUAUCACUGAAUCUGCAUAACAUGUAGAAAGAAUCGACCGUGAACGACGUGAUUGCGAUUAAGACAACACUGAAUCCGAUCAAUCCGUGUAUUAUGUGCAUCCAUUUUGGUUCGAACCUUCAAAAUGAACGUAUAACCAAACUUGGAGCAUCAGGAAUUUAAUGGAAUAGGAACGACAAACAACGUGUAAAUUUGAUUAAUUCCCAUGACUGAUCUUGACGAUAUCACACAUGAUAUGAAUUGAGUGUAAUAGAAGUGUUCCAUGUUAUGUUUUAUUCAGAUAUUCAUUAUUCAAUUAUUUAUGAGCAUUUGAAGGUUUUCGAAGUUUGUAUUACCAUUAUAGAGAAAAAAUAUCUGAUUUAUUCCGACCACAAAAUCAAAUAUAUGUACGUAAAAUAAUUAAAAAUAUAGAACAUGUAUUGUGUAUAAUAUUUAAUCAAAUCGUAAUGUAUAAUCAGAAAUCACUACUAUUAUAACUGGUCAUAAACUCAUGUUUUGUAUGUGUAUGCUUCAUUGUUUCGAUUCGGAAACAUCAUGUAUCGUUUAAUUUGAUGUCGAACCAAAUUAUAACGGAGUAUGUGGUAUCUACUGGUUAAUAAUUUAAAGCAAAAGUGUUAUGGUAAAAUAAAUUACAGUUCUGUAUUAGAUAUGUAUACAGUUCAUUUGGAUAUGAGGAAUUGUUAGCUUUGUUUCCUAGACGUGUGCGCUUGUUUUUGUAAAAUACAGAGUCUUUGCACACAAAUUGAGAAUCCAAAGUCGCAGAUAUGCUCAAAAUAAUAUUAGUUAUAUGUUACAAUGACGUUGAUAUAGAAUCAAUCAAUCAAUCAACCAAAGUUGAUUGGCAAUCUGGCAUUCUGUAUUUUGCCAAGAAAAUAUAUACAGAAGACAUAUGGUCAGGGAAUCAUACAAUUAUACAAAUAAAAGAUUAGCAAAUAUGACAAUAGUAACAAAUAUGUGUGAAAUUUAAAUACAAAUAUGUUUGUUAGCAUGCAAUUAUACAUCAUGUAGACUAUUUAAAGCAGAACCUCAAAGUUUAAACGCUUCAAUCAAAACAAUUUCGAAAUUCUUUGAGCUUAAGAACAUAAGUACAAAACAUAAUUUAUAUGUGUUUAUUUAUGGUUGGCCAUGAUGUCCGGAUAUUAUAUUUUAUACGCAUAUAUAAUUGACAACAUAAUAAAACGUGAAAUAACGAUUCACAGACAUUCUGGUUUCAAAGUUUACACGGGCGUUCUAUUAAGGACAAUGGGAACUAAAUCAAAAAUGGCUAAUGUGGAUUUUUGACAUUUCAAUGAUAUACAAUCCAAGUAUUUUCAUGUUCGAAGAUUUUUUAGAAUUGAAAGUAGAGUUCAAUUGUGGACUGUGAAGCUAUAGAAUCGCUCUACUGUUGAACAAAUUGGUCUUUGGUUUACAAUAUAACAAUGUGACACGUGAAAUCAGUUGUAUAAAGCAUAAGUCACUAGCCCCGAUUGGCUAACGUUAACUUCAAAGCGUGACAUCAGAGAUUAAUUUUCGCACAAUUUAAAUUUGUUAAAAUAUCCAUCUGUUCCAUAAAAACUUGGUACAAUAAAGAAGUUUGGUUAUUAACAAAUUUCAUCCAAUAAGACUAAACUCUUUUUUUACAUAAAACCGCUAGAACAAAUUUACUUUUAUUUUAUACUAACACAUCCGUAUAUACAUUACACAAUGUUACUAGUUUCAUGUUACUUAUCAGUAAGUCCUAAUGUAUGUAAAUAUAUCAAAUAUGCCUUUUUUUUAAAUACAAUCCCAAAUAAUACUGUGUAAUACAUUUUAUUACUGCUUCGAUAGAACAUACGUGUUUUGCAAUCGAUGUUGUUUAUUUGUAUUUAUAGAGUCUGUCUGUCUGUCUGUCAAUCUAUAUGUCUGUCCGUCUGUCUGUGUAUAUGUCUGUGUAUAUGUGUAUAUGUCUGUAUGUAUGUCUGUCUGUUGGCUGUGUGUCGUUGUGUGUGUUUGUCUGUGUGUCUGUGUUUCUGUGUAUGUAUAUGGACGGUCUGUCUGUCUGUCUGUCUGUCUGUCUGUCUGUCUGUCUGUCUGUCUGUCUGUCUGUCUGUCUGUCUGUCUGUCUGUCUGUCUGUCUGUCUGUCUGUCUGUCUGUCUGUCUGUCUGUCUGUCUGUCUGUCUGUCUGUCUGUCUAUAUGCUAGUCUUCUGUGUGUUUGUUAAAUAUUGCAUGUUAAUACCGCAUAGAUAAAACCUUUUAGGCGCAGUUUGAUAAUCGAUGUAUACCUUUGAAAUGCCUCCAUUUUGACUUUCGAAAUAUUUUAAAUUGAAAACAUGUACACUUUUAAUUAUAUCCAGCAAAAUGUUAAUGCCUAUAUUUUUAUUUUGUUUGUAUUUAUAUAUUAGCUACACAAUUAUAUAAUUCGAUGUUUAAUAGCCUAUUUGUUUAACACUGUAUAUCUACAUGUAGUAUACUGUCA